This 815-nucleotide ribosomal RNA is filed under the name Salmonella enterica subsp. enterica serovar Eastbourne. Its description in RNAcentral is "partial 23S ribosomal RNA". It matches the Rfam family "Bacterial large subunit ribosomal RNA", at positions 476 to 1191 of the family's 2925-position model. The record is from RNAcentral. Lineage: Bacteria; Pseudomonadati; Pseudomonadota; Gammaproteobacteria; Enterobacterales; Enterobacteriaceae.
CUGACUGACCGAUAGUGAACCAGUACCGUGAGGGAAAGGCGAAAAGAACCCCGGCGAGGGGAGUGAAAAAGAACCUGAAACCGUGUACGUACAAGCAGUGGGAGCCCCACCACUAAGCCAGUGGUGAACUCCACAUACGCAUCCUUUGCUGAGGAUACGGUUAACGGAGCGAAAGCGACGUUCAACCGCAAAAGAAGCAGAGGGGGCUUAGUGGUGGGGUGACUGCGUACCUUUUGUAUAAUGGGUCAGCGACUUAUAUUCUGUAGCAAGGUUAACCGAAUAGGGGAGCCGGAGGGAAACCGAGUCUUAAUUGGGCGUUAAGUUGCAGGGUAUAGACCCGAAACCCGGUGAUCUAGCCAUGGGCAGGUUGAAGGUUGGGUAACACUAACUGGAGGACCGAACCGACUAAUGUUGAAAAAUUAGCGGAUGACCUGUGGCUGGGGGUGAAAGGCCAAUCAAACCGGGAGAUAGCUGGUUCUCCCCGAAAGCUAUUUAGGUAGCGCCUCGUGAAUUCAUCUCCGGGGGUAGAGCACUGUUUCGGCUAGGGGGCCAUCCCGGCUUACCAACCCGAUGCAAACUGCGAAUACCGGAGAAUGUUAUCACGGGAGACACACGGCGGGUGCUAACGUCCGUCGUGAAGAGGGAAACAACCCAGACCGCCAGCUAAGGUCCCAAAGUCAUGGUUAAGUGGGAAACGAUGUGGGAAGGCCCAGACAGCCAGGAUGUUGGCUUAGAAGCAGCCAUCAUUUAAAGAAAGCGUAAUAGCUCACUGGUCGAGUCGGCCUGCGCGGAAGAUGUAACGGGGCUAAACCAUG